This 114-nucleotide ribosomal RNA is filed under the name Danio rerio (zebrafish). The record is from RNAcentral. Lineage: Eukaryota; Metazoa; Chordata; Actinopteri; Cypriniformes; Danionidae.
GGCCACAGCCAUAUCAGCCUGCAGCCCAAGACCAGCUCACUAAAGCUAGGCAGGGAUGAGCCUGUUUAGUACCUGGAUGGGAGACCACAUGGGAAAACUAGGUUGCUGUUGGAA